RNAcentral lists this ribosomal RNA (704 nucleotides) under Xylodon borealis. RNAcentral describes it as "eukaryotic LSU rRNA". The stretch from base 292 to 445 matches the Rfam family "5.8S ribosomal RNA". Lineage: Eukaryota; Fungi; Basidiomycota; Agaricomycetes; Hymenochaetales; Schizoporaceae. The record is from RNAcentral.
UCUUGGUCAUUUAGAGGAAGUAAAAGUCGUAACAAGGUUUCCGUAGGUGAACCUGCGGAAGGAUCAUUAUUGAGUUUUGAAGUGGGCUUGAUGCUGGCUUCGUCACUGAAGCAUGUGCUCGGCCCCGCUCAAAUCCACUCAACACCUGUGCACUUUCAAAGUUGUAGUCCUCCGUUAUGGGAGCCGCGAGUCGUUAACACGAUCCGUUGGGACUGCACUUUGCCCCUUUAUCACAAACCAUAUACAUUGUCUUGUAGAAUGUGUUAGCCUCUAGUAGGCGAAACUUAAUACAACUUUCAACAACGGAUCUCUUGGCUCUCGCAUCGAUGAAGAACGCAGCGAAAUGCGAUAAGUAAUGUGAAUUGCAGAAUUCAGUGAAUCAUCGAAUCUUUGAACGCACCUUGCGCUCCUUGGUAUUCCGAGGAGCAUGCCUGUUUGAGUGUCGUGAAAUCAUCAACUCCCUUUGCUUUUUGGUGAAGGUGAGCUUGGAUUUGGGGACUUGCUGGCCUUUACGGGUUCUGGCUUCCCUUGAAUGCAUUAGCUGGUAAUUGAUUUGCAGCAUAUAUGCGGUGUGAUAAUAUCUUCACUGUGUAGCUCAAGUCGACUAGCUUCUAAUCGUCCUUCGCGGGACAACAUUUUGAUCAUUAGACCUCAAAUCAGGUAGGACUACCCGCUGAACUUAAGCAUAUCAAUAAGCGGAGGAA